UACGGGGGGGGCAAGCGUUGUUCGGAAUUACUGGGCGUAAAGGGCUCGUAGGCGGCCAACUAAGUCGGACGUGAAAUCCCCAGGCUCAACCUGGGAACUGCGUCCGAUACUGGAUGGCUUGAAUUCGGGAGAGGGAUGCAGAAUUCCAGGUGUAGCGGUGAAAUGCGUAGAUAUCGGGAGGAACAUCAGUGGCGAAGGCGGCUACCUGGCCCAAUACUGACACUCAGGUGCGACAGCGUGGGGAGCAAACAGG
This 253-nucleotide ribosomal RNA is filed under the name uncultured bacterium. RNAcentral describes it as "partial 16S ribosomal RNA". It matches the Rfam family "Bacterial small subunit ribosomal RNA", at positions 524 to 776 of the family's 1533-position model. The record is from RNAcentral.